This is a microRNA precursor of Sorghum bicolor (sorghum), 107 nucleotides long. It matches the Rfam family "MIR5565 microRNA precursor family". The record is from Rfam. Lineage: Eukaryota; Viridiplantae; Streptophyta; Magnoliopsida; Poales; Poaceae.
AUAGUCGGAUUCGCAUUAAUCUAUAUGUGUUGGGUGGGUUGGAGUGAAACUUAACUAAAUUCCACCCCAAUCCACUCCAACACAUGUGGAUUAAAGUGAAUCCGACA